This 497-nucleotide ribosomal RNA is filed under the name uncultured bacterium. RNAcentral describes it as "partial 16S ribosomal RNA". It matches the Rfam family "Bacterial small subunit ribosomal RNA", at positions 28 to 507 of the family's 1533-position model. The record is from RNAcentral.
GAUGAACGCUGGCGGCGUGCCUAAUACAUGCAAGUCGAGCGAACAGACGAGGAGCUUGCUCCUCUGACGUUAGCGGCGGACGGGUGAGUAACACGUGGAUAACCUACCUAUAAGACUGGGAUAACUUCGGGAAACCGGAGCUAAUACCGGAUAAUAUAUUGAACCGCAUGGUUCAAUAGUGAAAGACGGUUUUGCUGUCACUUAUAGAUGGAUCCGCGCCGCAUUAGCUAGUUGGUAAGGUAACGGCUUACCAAGGCAACGAUGCGUAGCCGACCUGAGAGGGUGAUCGGCCACACGGGAACUGAGACACGGUCCAGACUCCUACGGGAGGCAGCAGUAGGGAAUCUGCCGCAAUGGGCGAAAGCCUGACGGAGCAACGCCGCGUGAGUGAUGAAGGUCUUCGGAUCGUAAAACUCUGUUAUUAGGGAAGAACAAAUGUGUAAGUAACUAUGCACGUCGUGACGGUAACUAAUCAGAAAGCCACGGCUAACUACGUG